This 485-nucleotide ribosomal RNA is filed under the name uncultured Desulfobacca sp. RNAcentral describes it as "bacterial SSU rRNA". It matches the Rfam family "Bacterial small subunit ribosomal RNA", at positions 901 to 1382 of the family's 1533-position model. Lineage: Bacteria; Pseudomonadati; Thermodesulfobacteriota; Desulfobaccia; Desulfobaccales; Desulfobaccaceae. The record is from RNAcentral.
UUAAAGGAAUUAGACGGGGGCCCGCGACAAGCGGUGGAGCAUGUGGUUUAAUUCGACGCAACGCGAAGAACCUUACCUGGGCUUGACAUCUGGGGAACCCCCUGGAAACAGGGGGUGCGGAGCAAUCCGAGCCCCAAGACAGGUGCUGCAUGGCUGUCGUCAGCUCGUGUCGUGAGAUGUUGGGUUAAGUCCCGCAACGAGCGCAACCCUUGUCUUUAGUUGCCAGCAUUCAGUUGGGCACUCUAAAGAGACUGCCGGUGUUAAACCGGAGGAAGGUGGGGAUGACGUCAAGUCCUCAUGGCCUUUAUGCCCAGGGCUACACACGUGCUACAAUGGGCGGUACAAAGGGUCGCGAGCCCGCGAGGGUAAGCUAAUCCCAAAAAGCCGUCCUCAGUUCGGAUCGGAGUCUGCAACUCGACUCCGUGAAGUUGGAAUCGCUAGUAAUCGUGGAUCAGCAUGCCACGGUGAAUACGUUCCCGGGCCUU